RNAcentral lists this long non-coding RNA (281 nucleotides) under Trifolium pratense (red clover). Its description in RNAcentral is "long non-coding RNA (TPRA_LNC010957)". Lineage: Eukaryota; Viridiplantae; Streptophyta; Magnoliopsida; Fabales; Fabaceae. The record is from RNAcentral.
CUUUAGAGAAUUAAGAUUAAGAUGUUUUUCCUUCAAAUUCAUAAGCCAUUGUUUUUGGAUCCAUUUGUCAUCAUUGGAAACUUCUUUUGAGAGGAAAAUGCUAUUGAUCACAAAUGCAAAAGCCUUUGUUGUUUAAUCUCCUUUCCUUGACUUAUUUCAUAUAUGGAAAAUUUCAAAUGCAAAAUCUAAAACGAAUGAAAGAAUAAAAGAGAAGGUUUUUGUUUCUAAUUAGGAGAAGGUGGAAGAGAAGAGAGAGAAAGGUUUUAGAAUGCCAACUGUGG